Molecule: non-coding RNA, 2532 nt
Organism: Myodes glareolus (Bank vole)
Lineage: Eukaryota; Metazoa; Chordata; Mammalia; Rodentia; Cricetidae
Source: RefSeq, a predicted model, not a curated record
UUAAUUUUUAAGAGGUACUUGGGAACAAGCCUAAGUGAAGGCCAAGCUGUCAUAAUUAAUAGGUCUCUGUAUGAUUAUUUGGGAGCUGGUGGUCCAAAGAAGGACCUGCUACCCCUCUCUUUUUCUCUUUCUUGUGCCAUGGUACUCUAGGCUCAUAUUGUCUAUUAUUUUAGCCCCAGCUCUAGAAGCUUCCAUGCCUCUGAGGAAUUCUAGUUCCAUUUACAAGGAAAUGGCAUUAGACACCAAGACAGCUCCAGGCAUGCUCACUGCCAUUGGUGUCCCACUGAGACUUGUCUUUGGUGACUGUUCGAACAUGGUUUCCUUUCUCUGACAACCUGCCCUCACCUUAUUGAUGCAAUGUAGCAGUAAGGAUUAUAAUUAGCUGGGAAACAUAUAGGGGCUGCUCCUUCAGAAGAGACAUUUCACUGAGAGUCGUUUGCAUUGAAUGGUCCAUUUAAACUGCUGAGUAUUUUACACCUCUGGUAAUGUUUAGCUCUGUUAACGCAAAUGGGGUUUUGCUCAGAAAGAUAAUAAAAUCAGUAUUAGUGGUUGAGAUAACCUCCAAUUGGGAAUUGUGUAAGUCAAAAUAAUUUCUCUCUGUCCUUAACAAGAAGAGAGAAUAAUUUACAUGUGUACUUUAAAUUUUCCCCCAUUUGUUUGGGGAGGGCUGUGCACACACUCAGAGACAAAACUUAUGUUAGUUGAUUCUCUACUUCUAUCCUGUGGCCUCUGGGACUGAACCCAAGUCUUCAGUCUCAGGGCCCCCAGCUAUAGCUUAGCAACUUAGAGACUGAGGACGGGGGCAUAAGAUCUGACAACUCCGUGUGUGGAACGUCACCCGCUACUGUAGACGCUGGAGGCCGUUUGGCGCAGCUGCUCUCACAGGCCAUAUCAUGGUCAUUGCUGAUCUCAAGGACUCUUUCUUUUCCCACAGGACAGGCUCUGCCCUUUGAUGCCAUAAGGACACAACUUAAGAGCAAGGUUCAUGGUCCUACUUGGCUCAGCCUCCAGCAUCUUCUUUGGGUACUUGAGGUAGAAGAUCUAAAAACACUGAAUUUUGUUUCUUUUCCUCACUUCCUCGUGACCUGAUAGCGUUGUCGGGACCCUGGGGUUCUGAAGAUGGCUCAGGUUUGGCUCUUAGCCCACCCUAUAGUAGUGAGACUAUGACAAGUUAUUUGUGGGUGUGUACCAAGUCACUUCAAAACUAGAGAUUUAAAACAACACCUGCUUACUGACACACAGUGUCACAUAGUGUCACAUAGUAUCACAUAGUGUCACAUAGCGUAUGUCUCAGAAAUCAGCCAGGGCUCAGCUGUAUUCUGUGUUUCGUGCCUCUCACAAGGCUGCACCAAGUUAUCAACAAAGGGGGUGUGGUCCCAUCCGAAGACCCCGUGGAAGCAGGACCUGCUCCCUAGCUUAUGUGGAUCUGGUUCCUCGUGGAUUGCUGGACAGAGGACACCGAAUCUUCUCUGAGUGUUGCCCGGAGGCUCAUCUCAGUUCCUGUCAUGGGCUUCUCUAAUAUGGCAACUGGCUUCAUCACAGUGUGCCCACUGAGAUGCAGUAGUGAGCAUCGGCUAGUGGAAGUCACCGUCACCUAUGCCCAGCACAGAAAAGACAUCCCGCCACAGAGUCUGUCUCAGACUCCCAGGGAGGGGACUGCAGGAGUGUGGAACAAGCACAGGAUGGGAUCACAUGGAAGUCUUAGGAAUCUGCCCACUAGAGUUAGGGGUGGGACUCCAUCUCAGAGUCUAGUGGGAGCAUGUUUUCCUUCUGGUAUGUUCUGGGCUGCUAGGAGGGAAUAUGUACAAACAUGUGACUUAGUACACCUACUUAGUCUUCCACUGUGAACCUUAUUUUAAAUACGAUGAACUUCAAAUAAUGGAUUUUUUCGUAAGUUUGAAAUAUAUAGGGAACUUGAAGUGACAAAUUCCUGGGCUGGUGAGAUGGCUUAGUCAGUAAAGUCGCGUGCCAACAAGCCCGAUGGCCUGCGUUGGUGGAUAAAAAGAAGUGGCUCCUGCAAGCUGUCGUCUCACUUCCGCAAGCCUCCCGUGGCAGGUGUCCCCAGAUGCUCCCAUAAAAGUAAAAUCUCCAGAGUCAGGAAAGCGCCUGGCCCACUCUUACUUUCAGAGUCUUGAGCAGUGAACGGCACACAUUGUUGGACGGAUGCUCGGCUAAAGGAUCCGUGGUUCAACUUGCGUAUGCUGCUAUGGUGCACAUCUCCCAACAAGACCACAGGCGGCUAGCUGGCAAAGCCAAGUCUUUAGAAUUUCUCAGAGAUGCUAUGACGUGCAGCGAGAGACACAUAAACAGAAGGAUAAAUGCCAGGAAAUGAAAAGCAAUUUGCUGGACAGUGAACUCUGCACUUCUCAUGCCCCCUGAGUUACACAACACAGCAGAUUGAUGCUAACACCAACACCAACGCUGGCGCUCAUCCAAGGUCAUGGCUCAGUCUUCCAGCAUCUCAGAAGUUAAAAGGAGUUACAUUAUUAAGUGCUUGGAAUAUGAAACCAUUAAAGAAAGUUUAUUUAUUUA